This 603-nucleotide ribosomal RNA is filed under the name uncultured bacterium. RNAcentral describes it as "bacterial SSU rRNA". The stretch from base 1 to 515 matches the Rfam family "Bacterial small subunit ribosomal RNA", at positions 339 to 873 of the family's 1533-position model. The record is from RNAcentral.
CUACGGGAGGCAGCAGUGGGGAAUAUUGGACAAUGGGCGCAAGCCUGAUCCAGCAAUGCCGCGUGAGUGAUGAAGGCCUUAGGGUCGUAAAGCUCUUUUACCAGGGAUGAUAAUGACAGUACCUGGAGAAUAAGCUCCGGCUAACUCCGUGCCAGCAGCCGCGGUAAUACGGAGGGAGCUAGCGUUGUUCGGAAUUACUGGGCGUAAAGCGUACGUAGGCGGUUAUUCAAGUCAGAGGUGAAAGCCCGGGGCUCAACCCCGGAACGGCCUUUGAAACUAGGUAGCUAGAAUCUUGGAGAGGUCAGUGGAAUUCCGAGUGUAGAGGUGAAAUUCGUAGAUAUUCGGAAGAACACCAGUGGCGAAGGCGACUGACUGGACAAGUAUUGACGCUGAGGUACGAAAGCGUGGGGGGCAAACAGGAUUAGAUACCCUGGUAGUCCACGCCGUAAACGAUGAUAACUAGCUGUCCGGGCACUUGGUGCCUGGGUGGCGCAGCUACGCAUUAGUUAUCCGUCCGUCGGGAGGUACGGUCGCGAGAGUAAACGUACGAAAGAAGUUAGACGGCGUGUAGACGUUGCGAACGGACGACGACGAGGGAGGAGG